Molecule: ribosomal RNA, 253 nt
Filed under: uncultured bacterium
Lineage: Bacteria
Description: partial 16S ribosomal RNA
Rfam family: Bacterial small subunit ribosomal RNA
Source: RNAcentral
UACAGAGGUCCCGAGCGUUGUUCGGAUUCACUGGGCGUAAAGGGUGCGUAGGUGGUGAGGUAAGUCGGAUGUGAAAGCUCCAAGCUCAACUUGGAAAUGGCAUUGGAAACUACCUUGCUAGAGGGUUUGAGGGGGGACUGGAAUACUUGGUGUAGCAGUGAAAUGCGUAGAUAUCGGGAGGAACACCAGUGGCGAAGGCGGCGAUCUGGGAAGAUACUGACGCUGAGGUGCGAAAGCGUGGGGAGCAAACAGG